GGCGGCAUUGGCCAGGUCGGUGAUGCGGCGGUUGGUCUCGGCGACCUUCUUCCGCAGGUCCUCGGGCCGCGCGGCCGCUCCGGGGUCGGCGGUGCCGCCG
This 100-nucleotide transfer RNA is filed under the name Streptomyces chrestomyceticus JCM 4735. RNAcentral's name for it is "tRNA-Glu". Lineage: Bacteria; Bacillati; Actinomycetota; Actinomycetes; Kitasatosporales; Streptomycetaceae. The record is from RNAcentral.